UACGAAGGGGGCUAGCGUUGUUCGGAUUUACUGGGCGUAAAGCGCACGUAGGCGGAUCUUUAAGUCAGAGGUGAAAUCCCAAGGCUCAACCUUGGAACUGCCUUUGAUACUGGGGAUCUCGAGUUCGGGAGAGGUGAGUGGAACUGCGAGUGUAGAGGUGAAAUUCGUAGAUAUUCGCAAGAACACCAGUGGCGAAGGCGGCUCACUGGCCCGAUUCUGACGCUGAGGUGCGAAAGCGUGGGGAGCAAACAGG
RNAcentral lists this ribosomal RNA (253 nucleotides) under uncultured bacterium. RNAcentral's name for it is "partial 16S ribosomal RNA". It matches the Rfam family "Bacterial small subunit ribosomal RNA", at positions 524 to 776 of the family's 1533-position model. The record is from RNAcentral.